RNAcentral lists this ribosomal RNA (252 nucleotides) under uncultured bacterium. RNAcentral's name for it is "partial 16S ribosomal RNA". It matches the Rfam family "Bacterial small subunit ribosomal RNA", at positions 524 to 776 of the family's 1533-position model. The record is from RNAcentral.
UACGAAGGGGGCUAGCGUUGCUCGGAAUUACUGGGCGUAAAGCGCACGUAGGCGGUCUCUUAAGUCGGGGGUGAAAUCCUGGAGCUCAACUCCAGAACUGCCUUCGAUACUGGAAGACUUGAGUCCGGGAGAGGUGAGUGGAACUGCGAGUGUAGAGGUGAAAUUCGUAGAUAUUCGCAAGAACACCAGUGGCGAAGGCGGCUCACUGGCCCGGUACUGACGCUGAGGUGCGAAAGCGUGGGAGCAAACAGG